AAGGGAGACCUAAUUCAGGUAUGGGACGAAAAAAAAGUAGUCCCAACCAAGAAUCAAUCCCAAAAGGUCGGAGCGAGGCGAAAUUGGCUUUCAAACUAGGUUCUGGGUUCACACAAGACCUGAAUCAGGAACAAGGGCUAUUAGCUCAGGUGGUUAGAGCGCACCCCUGAUAAGGGUGAGGUCCCUGGUUCGAGUCCAGGAUGGCCCACCUGCACAGGUGGCAAAAACAAGAGAAGCGAGGAAUCAGCACCUUAUCUUAUCUAUAUAUAAGAGAGAAUGCUGGCUCUGAGUAAAGAGUCCAGAGGAACCUUGAAAACUGCAUAGAGCUAGGUGAAAAAGCCAAAAAAGAAGACCGCAA
This 358-nucleotide transfer RNA is filed under the name uncultured Microcystis sp. RNAcentral's name for it is "partial 16S-23S ribosomal RNA intergenic spacer". The stretch from base 135 to 208 matches the Rfam family "tRNA". Lineage: Bacteria; Bacillati; Cyanobacteriota; Cyanophyceae; Chroococcales; Microcystaceae. The record is from RNAcentral.